This 455-nucleotide ribosomal RNA is filed under the name uncultured organism. Its description in RNAcentral is "bacterial SSU rRNA". It matches the Rfam family "Bacterial small subunit ribosomal RNA", at positions 346 to 794 of the family's 1533-position model. The record is from RNAcentral.
GUGCAGCAGUCGAGAAUUUUUCUCAAUGGGGGCAACCCUGAAGGAGCGACGCCGCGUGGAGGAUGAAGGCUUUCGGGUUGUAAACUCCUGCCAUUUGAGAACAAGUGUGAGCACAUAACUACUGCUCAUUUGAUAGUAUCAGAAGAGGAAGGGACGGCUAACUCUGUGCCAGCAGCCGCGGUAAUACAGAGGUCCCAAGCGUUGUUCGGAUUCAUUGGGCGUAAAGGGUGCGUAGAUGGCGUGGUAAGUCGGGUGUGAAAUUUCGGAGCUUAACUCCGAAACUGCAUUCGAUACUGCCGUGCUUGAGGACUGGAGAGGAGACUGGAAUUUACGGUGUAGCAGUGAAAUGCGUAGAGAUCGUAAGGAAGACCAGUGGCGAAGGCGGGUCUCUGGACAGUUCCUGACACUGAGGCACGAAGGCUAGGGGAGCAAACGGGAUUAGAUACCCCUGUAGU